AACAGCAUUUAACUACAAAUUAACUUUCCCAUUUCCUCUUCAUCCAAGCAUGCCUAUGAUGGUCCAAUUUAGCAUGAGUACACCAUUCGAAUUAAAAAAUUGUAUUGACGAUAGUUACCUGGAACGCGGUACUCUUGGGUGGUGAUACUGAUACGUAAUACACAAUAUGCUACUUAAUGAAAUAUAGCAUACGCAAGAGAUAGAUUUAAUUGGUACAUCAAUUUAAUUCGUAGUACAUUAAUUCGAU
RNAcentral lists this unclassified non-coding RNA (247 nucleotides) under Hevea brasiliensis (rubber tree). The record is from RNAcentral. Lineage: Eukaryota; Viridiplantae; Streptophyta; Magnoliopsida; Malpighiales; Euphorbiaceae.